GCUCUGCGCGCGCGCGCCGCUUGCCAUGCGACGCCGCUAACGGUCGCCGGGGGAGCAGAGGUCCAGCUAGCACUGCGUUUAAUACAGAAAUGAAGAGCACGCAACGGGAUGCUUCGGGUUUAGAAGUAAAUUAUCUGCUGCACCGGAUCGCCGAGUUCACUGCAGAACGCAGUUGCUUGUCACAGAGCACUCUGACAAAAAGCAGCCUUUCCAGUGCUUUUCAUCGCUACCUCUUAGCUCCUUUUGUUAACCUAAUCUGUGCAAUAAUCAGGAACGAUUAAAUAAUGCAUAACU
Long non-coding RNA from Tympanuchus pallidicinctus (lesser prairie-chicken), 294 nucleotides. RefSeq lists it as uncharacterized. The transcript is spliced from 2 exons. NCBI's taxonomy places the organism in Eukaryota, Metazoa, Chordata, Aves, Galliformes, Phasianidae. The record is from RefSeq and is a predicted model, not a curated record.